RNAcentral lists this ribosomal RNA (466 nucleotides) under uncultured bacterium. RNAcentral's name for it is "partial 16S ribosomal RNA". It matches the Rfam family "Bacterial small subunit ribosomal RNA", at positions 28 to 507 of the family's 1533-position model. The record is from RNAcentral.
GAUGAACGAGGGGGGAGGGAGGAACACAUGCAAGUCGAACGAUGAAGCCCAGCUUGCUGGGUGGAUUAGUGGCGAAGGGGUGAGUAACACGUGAGUAACCUGGCCUUGACUCUGGGAUAAGCCUGGGCGACUGGGUCUAAUACUGGAUAUGACUUCUCAUCGCAGGGUGGGGGGUGGAAAGAUUUAUUGGUCUUGGAUGGACUUGCGGCCUAUCAGCUUGUUGGUGAGGUAAUGGCUAACCGAGUCGACGACUGGUAGCCGGCCUGAGAGGGUGACCGGCCACACUAGGACUGAGACACGGCCCAGACGCCUACGGGGGGCAGCAGUGGGGAAUAUUGCACAAUGGGCGCGAGCCUGAUGCAGCGGCGUCGCGUGAGGGAUGACGGCCUGCGGGUUGUAAACCGCUUUCAGUAGGGAAGAAGCGAGAGUGACGGUACCUGCAGAAGAAGCGCCGGCUCACUACGUC